GACGAACGCUGGCGGCGUGCCUAAUACAUGCAAGUCGAGCGCAGGAAAUCGACGGAACCCUUCGGGGGGAAGUCGACGGAAUGAGCGGCGGACGGGUGAGUAACACGUAAAGAACCUGUCCUCAGGUCUGGGAUAACCACGAGAAAUCGGGGCUAAUACCGGAUGGGUCAUCGGACCGCAUGGUCCGAGGAUGAAAGGCGCUUCGGCGUAGCCUGGGGAUGGCUUUGCGGUGCAUUAGCUAGUUGGUGGGGUAAUGGCCCACCAAGGCGACGAUGCAUAGCCGACCUGAGAGGGUGAUCGACCACACUGGGACUGAGACACGGCCCAGACUCCUACGGGAGGCAGCAGUAGGGAAUCUUCCACAAUGGACGAAAGUCUGAUGGAGCAACGCCGCGUGAACGAUGAAGGCCUUCGGGUCGUAAAGUUCUGUUGUAAGGGAAGAACAAGUGCCGCAGGCAAUGGCGGCACCUUGACGGUACCUUGCGAGAAAGCCACGGCUAACUACGUGCCAGCCGCCGCGGUAA
RNAcentral lists this ribosomal RNA (524 nucleotides) under uncultured bacterium. RNAcentral describes it as "partial 16S ribosomal RNA". It matches the Rfam family "Bacterial small subunit ribosomal RNA", at positions 28 to 523 of the family's 1533-position model. The record is from RNAcentral.